This 403-nucleotide ribosomal RNA is filed under the name Staphylococcus aureus. Its description in RNAcentral is "bacterial SSU rRNA". It matches the Rfam family "Bacterial small subunit ribosomal RNA", at positions 202 to 598 of the family's 1533-position model. The record is from RNAcentral. Lineage: Bacteria; Bacillati; Bacillota; Bacilli; Caryophanales; Staphylococcaceae.
ACGGUCUUGCUGUCACUUAUAGAUGGAUCCGCGCUGCAUUAGCUAGUUGGUAAGGUAACGGCUUACCAAGGCAACGAUGCAUAGCCGACCUGAGAGGGUGAUCGGCCACACUGGAACUGAGACACGGUCCAGACUCCUACGGGAGGCAGCAGUAGGGAAUCUUCCGCAAUGGGCGAAAGCCUGACGGAGCAACGCCGCGUGAGUGAUGAAGGUCUUCGGAUCGUAAAACUCUGUUAUUAGGGAAGAACAUAUGUGUAAGUAACUGUGCACAUCUUGACGGUACCUAAUCAGAAAGCCACGGCUAACUACGUGCCAGCAGCCGCGGUAAUACGUAGGUGGCAAGCGUUAUCCGGAAUUAUUGGGCGUAAAGCGCGCGUAGGCGGUUUUUUAAGUCUGAUGUGAA